CAUGUCUAAGUAUAAGCACUCAUACUGCGAAACUGCGAAUGGCUCAUUAAAUCAGUUAUCGUUUAUUUGAUAGUACCUUUACCUGGAUAACCGUGGUAAUUCUAGAGCUAAUACAUGCUAAAAAUCCCGACUUCGGAAGGGAUGUAUUUAUUAGAUAAAAAACCAAUGCCCUUCGGGGCUCCUUGGUGAUUCAUAAUAACUCAACGAAUCGCAUGGCCUUGCGCCGGCGAUGGUUCAUUCAAAUUUCUGCCCUAUCAACUUUCGAUGGUAGGAUAGUGGCCUACCAUGGUCUCAACGGGUAACGGGGAAUUAGGGUUCGAUUCCGGAGAGGGAGCCUGAGAAACGGCUACCACAUCCAAGGAAGGCAGCAGGCGCGCAAAUUACCCAAUCCCGAUACGGGGAGGUAGUGACAAUAAAUACUGAUACAGGGCUCUUUUGGGUCUUGUAAUUGGAAUGAGUACAAUCUAAAUCCCUUAACGAGGAACAAUUGGAGGGCAAGUCUGGUGCCAGCAGCCGCGGUAAUUCCAGCUCCAAUAGCGUAUAUUAAAGUUGUUGCCGUUAAAAAGCUCGUAGUUGAACCUUGGGCCUGGCUGAUCUGUCCUCCUAAUCGAGCGCACGGAUUCGGUCGGGUCUUUCCUUCUGGGGAGCCGCAUGCCCUUCACUGGGCGUGUCGGGGAACCAGGACUUUUACCUUGAAAAAAUUAGAGUGUUCAAAGCAGGCCUUUGCUCGAAUACAUUAGCAUGGAAUAAUAGAAUAGGACGGAGGUUCUAUUUUGUUGGUUUCUAGGACCGCCGUAAUGAUUAAUAGGGAUAGUCGGGGGCGUCCGUAUUCAAUUGUCAGAGGUGAAAUUCUUGGAUUUAUUGAAGACGAACUACUGCGAAAGCAUUCGCCAAGGAUGUUUUCAUUAAUCAGUGAACGAAAGUUAGGGGAUCGAAGACGAUCAGAUACCGUCGUAGUCUUAACCAUAAACUAUGCCGACUAGGGAUCGGACGGUGGUUUUUUUAUGCCCCGUUCGGCACCUUACGAGAAAUCAAAGUGUUUGGGCUCGGGGGGGAGUAUGGUCGCAAGGCUGAACUUAAAGAAAUUGACGGAAGGGCACCACAAGGCGUGGAGCCUGCGGCUUAAUUUGACUCAACACGGGGAAACUCACCAGGUUAACAUCAUGUCUGGGCCUGGAAUAGUAUACAUCACAUCCAGGAGAUGUGGUGGUGCUAGUAUACCGUCUCAUGGCUGCACGGGGUAGUCCCCAAUUUCGGGUGCAGGGGUAAUUUACCGCGGUAGAUUACCAGACGGAUGCGACACCAGCUGGUACAGGGAACGCCUUCAACAGUCAUGUAAAUGAUUCACAGGCCGAUCCUGUGGCGAGCCAGAGUAACGUCUGGCCGUCGCAACGCGCGCUAAGCGGUGGGUGAAUCACCUCUCGGUGGUUUGCUUAAGGGACGUGCUGGCCCAUGGGAUGAUAAACCAUGCCACGAUGUAGGAGGGCCGAAAUACCAAAUCAUCGUGGGCAGCCAAGAUGGUAUGAACGAACACUCGUUCUCAUCUAGGCUGUGGAAGAGGGGAUGUACAAUGGAUCAUCCCCCUGGCAAAACGCCAGACAUGCUUAGGAUUGACAGAUUGAUAGCUCUUUCUUGAUUGUAUGGGUGGUGGUGCAUGGCCGUUUUUAGUUGGUGGAGUGAUUUGUCUGCUUAAUUGCGAUAACGAACGAGACCUUGACCUGCUAAAUAGCCCAACCCACUUUGGUGGAUUGCCGGCUUCUUAGAGGGACUUUUGGCUCAAGCCAAUGGAAGUACGAGGCAAAAACAGGUUAACCUUGGGAGUUACACCCAUCACAGGCCUGUAGUAGCGGUGUCUCAUGCUUUUCAUGUCCUUCGUUCUAUGACCGUUCCGGGGGAUUUUACCGCUAGUCGAGCACUUGAGAACCUCUUGUGGAAGCUAAGCCACAACUGUCGGGAGAGGUACGUGCGCAGCUAUUUCAGCUACGCACGGUAGUGCCGGCGAGACAACCUGGUCCAGGGGACACUCUCCGAGUCAAUCCUGGUGCGAAUUGGUUUGCGACCAAUCGCUGCAACGCGCGGAAAGGUGUCGGUUCACCCGUGAGGGUGGGCUUAAGGUACGUGCUGAUCCCACACGCGAGUGUGCUUUGUACUGGAGGUCCGACAGGCCAAAGGUGCAGGGGAUGUGUCACGCGAAUGUGACAUGUUGGUCUUGGUGGGGUCAGGUGGUCUACUACUUGACCCCCCACGAGAAAUGCUGUGAUGCCCUUAGAUGUUCUGGGCCGCACGCGCGCUACACUGACAGAGCCAGCGAGUACAUCACCUUGGCCGAAAGGUCUGGGUAAUCUUGUUAAACUCUGUCGUGCUGGGGAUAGAGCAUUGCAAUUAUUGCUCUUCAACGAGGAAUGCCUAGUAAGCGCAAGUCAUCAGCUUGCGUUGAUUACGUCCCUGCCCUUUGUACACACCGCCCGUCGCUACUACCGAUUGAAUGGCUCAGUGAGGCCUUGGGAUUGGCCAGGGGAGAUGGGCAACCAUCACCCCAGGCCGAAAACUUGGUCAAACUUGGUCAUUUAGAGGAAGUAAAAGUCGUAACAAGGUUUCUGAUCCUUCCAAUGGUGAACGUCAUUCAGGAAGCCUUUGUCGCCUGAAAGGGUGUGCAUACCGCGACUCUAAACAAUGUAAGUAUGUCAAGGACAAGUCGGGGGUCUGUGAAGGCUCCCGGCGACGCUGUCAAAUUGCGGGGAGUCCCUUAGAGCUUUCACUACUAAGCGGUGUCCGAAAGGUCACCGUGGCCAGGGUAAUGCCCUCGGGUACAGUCACAACGUGGAAGAUUGGGUAACCUGCAGCCAAGUCCUGUCGCCUGGAGAGAGCGGUACAAAGCUUUCUACAGGCGUGGAUGCUGUUCACAGGCCAAAUGGUAGCGGGUUCGGCUGCGGCCGGGCUCAAGAUAUGGUCGGUCCUGCGAGGAAACUUGCGGGGAGUUCGCCGGGUUGUUGGGCUCUCGUCGCACGAGUGGCGCACAACCAGUAACAAGAAAACAAACGUUCCGUAGGUGAACCUGCGGAAGGAUCAUUA
This 3072-nucleotide ribosomal RNA is filed under the name Chaetothyriales sp. CR0721. Its description in RNAcentral is "partial 18S ribosomal RNA". The stretch from base 1 to 1889 matches the Rfam family "Eukaryotic small subunit ribosomal RNA". Lineage: Eukaryota; Fungi; Ascomycota; Eurotiomycetes; Chaetothyriales. The record is from RNAcentral.